Molecule: transfer-messenger RNA, 333 nt
Filed under: Nosocomiicoccus sp. HMSC09A07
Lineage: Bacteria; Bacillati; Bacillota; Bacilli; Caryophanales; Staphylococcaceae
Rfam family: transfer-messenger RNA
About the family: Bacterial tmRNA, also known as 10Sa RNA or SsrA, is named for its dual tRNA and mRNA-like properties.
Source: RNAcentral
GGCUUAAAAUCAUUUAACAUUUCAGUUCCAGACGCUCCGAGCGAAAUAGUAGAAACACCAGAAGGUAUUAAAAUGGUCGUAAACUAAAUAAACGAUAAAGCGGCACUCUUAGAAUAAUCUUAGAAUUUAUAGAUUAUUCUUUAAAUAACAAGAUAGUCCCUAUUUAGCAAGAUAUACUAGAAGUCUUCCGUCUGCAGACUUCUAGAAGAACUUAAUCAGACUAGCAUGAAUUGUGGAACGUUCUCUUCCGGCGUUCAUGCGAAACUUUAAUUGAGAACUACACACGUAGAAAGAAGUGUAGCAAGAUCCUUGGACGCGGGUUCGACUCCCGCC